This 362-nucleotide ribosomal RNA is filed under the name uncultured bacterium. Its description in RNAcentral is "partial 16S ribosomal RNA". It matches the Rfam family "Bacterial small subunit ribosomal RNA", at positions 338 to 699 of the family's 1533-position model. The record is from RNAcentral.
CCUACGGGUGGCAGCAGUGGGGAAUAUUGCACAAUGGGGGAAACUCUGAUGCAGCGACGCCGCGUGAGUGAAGAAGUAUCUCUGUACGUAAAGCUCUAUUAGCAGGGAAGAAAAACCGGCCUUAGGGCCGCCAGUCGGUACCUGACUCAGCAGCUCCGGCUAACUACGCGCCAGCAGCCGCGGUAAUACGUAGGGGGCAAGCGUUAUCCGGAUUUACUGGGUGUAAAGGGAGCGUAGGCGGCAGCGCAAGUCUGGCGUGAAAAGCCGGGGCGCAACCCCGGAACUGCUUUGGAAACUGUGCAGCUGGAGAGCAGGAGAGGUAAGCGGAAUUGCUAGUGUAGCGGUGAAAUGCGUAGAUAUUA